This 780-nucleotide ribosomal RNA is filed under the name Pseudomonas sp. Its description in RNAcentral is "bacterial SSU rRNA". It matches the Rfam family "Bacterial small subunit ribosomal RNA", at positions 51 to 831 of the family's 1533-position model. The record is from RNAcentral. Lineage: Bacteria; Pseudomonadati; Pseudomonadota; Gammaproteobacteria; Pseudomonadales; Pseudomonadaceae.
ACACAUGCAGUCGAGCGGAUGAGAGGAGCUUGCUCCUGGAUUCAGCGGCGGACGGGUGAGUAAUGCCUAGGAAUCUGCCUGGUAGUGGGGGACAACGUUUCGAAAGGAACGCUAAUACCGCAUACGUCCUACGGGAGAAAGCAGGGGACCUUCGGGCCUUGCGCUAUCAGAUGAGCCUAGGUCGGAUUAGCUAGUUGGUGAGGUAAUGGCUCACCAAGGCGACGAUCCGUAACUGGUCUGAGAGGAUGAUCAGUCACACUGGAACUGAGACACGGUCCAGACUCCUACGGGAGGCAGCAGUGGGGAAUAUUGGACAAUGGGCGAAAGCCUGAUCCAGCCAUGCCGCGUGUGUGAAGAAGGUCUUCGGAUUGUAAAGCACUUUAAGUUGGGAGGAAGGGCAGUAAAUUAAUACUUUGCUGUUUUGACGUUACCGACAGAAUAAGCACCGGCUAACUCUGUGCCAGCAGCCGCGGUAAUACAGAGGGUGCAAGCGUUAAUCGGAAUUACUGGGCGUAAAGCGCGCGUAGGUGGUUCGUUAAGUUGGAUGUGAAAUCCCCGGGCUCAACCUGGGAACUGCAUUCAAAACUGUCGAGCUAGAGUAUGGUAGAGGGUGGGUGGAAUUUCCUGUGUAGCGGUGAAAUGCGUAGAUAUAGGAAGGGACACCAGUGGCGAAGCGACCACCUGGACUGAUACUGACACUGAGUGCGAAAGCGUGGGGAGCAAACAGAUUAGAUACCCUGGUAGUCCACGCCGUAACGAUGUCACUAGCCGUUGGGAGCC